AUGUGUUAACUACACGAAACUACGUGAGCUAACUAUCAAUGUAUAUUAUGUAACAUAAUAAUAACUCGAGUGGUAGUUAGGGGUGAUAGGCUUCCCAAACGUAAGAUAUCUUGAUUCUUACAACAUGUAAUAGUACUAAGACAGUUUAAGAGUAAUAAGGCUCUUAAAAAUAAUAAAUUUUUAUUGAAACACUAAGUUGGUUUAAUAACCUACAUUCAAAGUAUAAUAAAAUUAAUUUACUCAAUUUAUUUAGCUUAGUAAGACUCAAUAAAUUUUAAACCAUGAUUAUAAUGUUUUCAUGAGUAUUAAGAAGUUAUUAAUAGUGAAUUCGGCAUCUUUGCUUUCAACUGUUUACCAAAAACAUAGCCACGUGUAUUUAUACGUGGUAUUUUCUGCUCAAUGAUUAUUAAAUAGCCGCAGUACCCUGACUGUGCAAAGGUAGCGUAAUCAUUUGUCUCUUAAUUGGAGUCGUGUAUGAAGGAAUAAAUGGGGGCAAUCUUUACCAUUAAUAAAUUUAAAAAUUACUUAGUGGGUGCAAAUUCCCAUAAAUAAUAAAUAGACGAGAAGACCCUAGAAAUUUGUAUAAAUGUUUUGUUGGGGCAACAUAGUAGCAAAUUAAUCUACUUUAUGAAUAUGACAAAUUAUAGAUAAAUAAAAUUACUCUAGGGAUAACAGCAUAAUUUAUAAAUGUUUGUGACCUCGAUGUUGGAUUAGGGAGUUGUUGUUUUAGA
RNAcentral lists this ribosomal RNA (731 nucleotides) under Parachloritis nusatenggarae. Its description in RNAcentral is "partial 16S ribosomal RNA". The stretch from base 307 to 546 matches the Rfam family "Archaeal large subunit ribosomal RNA", at positions 1786 to 2143 of the family's 2987-position model. The record is from RNAcentral. Lineage: Eukaryota; Metazoa; Mollusca; Gastropoda; Stylommatophora; Camaenidae.